Molecule: ribosomal RNA, 1499 nt
Filed under: metagenome
Description: bacterial SSU rRNA
Rfam family: Bacterial small subunit ribosomal RNA
Source: RNAcentral
GAGUUUGAUCAUGGCUCAGAUUGAACGCUGGCGGCAGGCCUAACACAUGCAAGUCGAACGGUAACAGGAAGAAGCUUGCUUCUUUGCUGACGAGUGGCGGACGGGUGAGUAAUGUCUGGGAAACUGCCUGAUGGAGGGGGAUAACUACUGGAAACGGUAGCUAAUACCGCAUAACGUCGCAAGACCAAAGAGGGGGACCUUCGGGCCUCUUGCCAUCGGAUGUGCCCAGAUGGGAUUAGCUAGUAGGUGGGGUAACGGCUCACCUAGGCGACGAUCCCUAGCUGGUCUGAGAGGAUGACCAGCCACACUGGAACUGAGACACGGUCCAGACUCCUACGGGAGGCAGCAGUGGGGAAUAUUGCACAAUGGGCGCAAGCCUGAUGCAGCCAUGCCGCGUGUAUGAAGAAGGCCUUCGGGUUGUAAAGUACUUUCAGCGGGGAGGAAGGGAGUAAAGUUAAUACCUUUGCUCAUUGACGUUACCCGCAGAAGAAGCACCGGCUAACUCCGUGCCAGCAGCCGCGGUAAUACGGAGAGUGCAAGCGUUAAUCGGGAUUACUGGGCGUAAAGCGCACGCAGGCGGUUUGUUAAGUCAGAUGUGAAAUCCCCGGGCUCAACCUGGGAACUGCAUCUGAUACUGGCAAGCUUGAGUCUCGUAGAGGGGGGUAGAAUUCCAGGUGUAGCGGUGAAAUGCGUAGAGAUCUGGAGGAAUACCGGUGGCGAAGGCGGCCCCCUGGACGGAGACUGACGCUCAGGUGCGAAAGCGUGGGGAGCAAACAGGAUUAGAUACCCUGGUAGUCCACGCCGUAAACGAUGUCGACUUGGAGGUUGUGCCCUUGAGGCGUGGCUUCCGGAGCUAACGCGUUAAGUCGACCGCCUGGGGAGUACGGCCGCAAGGUUAAAACUCAAAUGAAUUGACGGGGGCCCGCACAAGCGGUGGAGCAUGUGGUUUAAUUCGAUGCAACGCGAAGAACCUUACCUGGUCUUGACAUCCACGGAAGUUUUCAGAGAUGAGAAUGUGCCUUCGGGAACCGUGAGACAGGUGCUGCAUGGCUGUCGUCAGCUCGUGUUGUGAAAUGUUGGGUUAAGUCCCGCAACGAGCGCAACCCUUAUCCUUUGUUGCCAGCGGUCCGGCCGGGAACUCAAAGGAGACUGCCAGUGAUAAACUGGAGGAAGGUGGGGAUGACGUCAAGUCAUCAUGGCCCUUACGACCAGGGCUACACACGUGCUACAAUGGCGCAUACAAAGAGAAGCGACCUCGCGAGAGCAAGCGGACCUCAUAAAGUGCGUCGUAGUCCGGAUUGGAGUCUGCAACUCGACUCCAUGAAGUCGGAAUCGCUAGUAAUCGUGGAUCAGAAUGCCACGGUGAAUACGUUCCCGGGCCUUGUACACACCGCCCGUCACACCAUGGGAGUGGGUUGCAAAAGAAGUAGGUAGCUUAACCUUCGGGAGGGCGCUUACCACUUUGUGAUUCAUGACUGGGGUGAAGUCGAAACAAGGUA